UACGUAGGGUGCAGGCGUUAAUCGGAAUUACUGGGCGUAAAGCGUGCGCAGGCGGCUUCCUAAGUCAGAUGUGAAAUCCCCGGGCUUAACCUGGGAACUGCGUUUGAAACUGGGAGGCUAGAGUGCGGCAGAGGGGGGUGGAAUUCCACGUGUAGCAGUGAAAUGCGUAGAUAUGUGGAGGAACACCGAUGGCGAAGGCAGCCCCCUGGGCCAGCACUGACGCUCAUGCACGAAAGCGUGGGGAGCGAACAGG
Molecule: ribosomal RNA, 253 nt
Filed under: uncultured bacterium
Lineage: Bacteria
Description: partial 16S ribosomal RNA
Rfam family: Bacterial small subunit ribosomal RNA
Source: RNAcentral